Molecule: transfer RNA, 77 nt
Filed under: Flavobacteriaceae bacterium
Lineage: Bacteria; Pseudomonadati; Bacteroidota; Flavobacteriia; Flavobacteriales; Flavobacteriaceae
Description: tRNA-Ile
Rfam family: tRNA
About the family: Transfer RNA (tRNA) molecules are approximately 80 nucleotides in length.
Source: RNAcentral
UGCGGGGUGGAGCAGUCUGGUAGCUCGUCAGGCUUAUAACCUGAAGGUCGUGGGUUCAAAUCUUACCUCCGCAACUA